GGCCAGACGACCGCGGGGCCGACCGGGCGACCGGUCCGGCCAUGAGGAAAGUCCGGGCUCCACAGGGCAGGAAGCUGGCUAACGGCCAGGCGGGGUAACCCGACGGAAAGCGCCGCAGAAAAGAAGACUCCCGCUGCCCGCGCGAGCGGGUGAGGGAAAAGCUGAAACGGUGGUGCAAGAGACCACCAGCGUCGUGGCGACACGGCGGCUUGGCAAGCCCCUUCCGGAGCAAACGCAAAUAGGAGCGCCAUGGGGUGGCCCGCCCCGCGCUCGGGUUGCGCGCUAGAGGGCGUCGGCAACGGCGUCAGUAGAUAAAUGGUCGUCCACGACAGAACCCGGCUCAUAGGCCCGCCU
Molecule: RNase P RNA, 354 nt
Filed under: bovine gut metagenome
Description: Bacterial RNase P class A
Rfam family: Bacterial RNase P class A
About the family: Ribonuclease P (RNase P) is a ubiquitous endoribonuclease, found in archaea, bacteria and eukarya as well as chloroplasts and mitochondria.
Source: RNAcentral